Long non-coding RNA from Octopus sinensis (East Asian common octopus), 361 nucleotides. RefSeq lists it as uncharacterized. The transcript is spliced from 2 exons. Lineage: Eukaryota; Metazoa; Mollusca; Cephalopoda; Octopoda; Octopodidae. The record is from RefSeq and is a predicted model, not a curated record.
GCUGUCAGAGACAUAUCCAUAGGUCAAGUGGACCAAGUAAGAAAAACCAGGGGGGAUGGAAAGGGGCUAUGAACUUAAAUUACAGAGAUCGUCAGCAAGGCUUGCACAUUGGCAGAGUUUGCCAGUAAAAAAAAAAUUUUUUUCUGUAGUGAAGGGAGUGGGGUGGGGUCAUCUGGGACCACUUUGAAGAACAGAAACAAGGAAUUGGGAGUGGGUGAAGUUGUAUAGGAAGACAAGGGUAUUAUUUUGAAGAAGCACAUUUGAAGAGCAUUUAAAGUGAAUGUGAAGCAAGAAAGCUUUACAUCUCAGGCAGCGAUGGAACACACCAAAAAAAAAAAAAAAAAAAGGAAAUGAAUUUGGG